This 482-nucleotide ribosomal RNA is filed under the name uncultured bacterium. Its description in RNAcentral is "bacterial SSU rRNA". It matches the Rfam family "Bacterial small subunit ribosomal RNA", at positions 29 to 524 of the family's 1533-position model. The record is from RNAcentral.
AUUGAACGCUGGCGGCAUGCCUUACACAUGCAAGUCGAACGGCAGCACGGGAGCAAUCCUGGUGGCGAGUGGCGAACGGGUGAGUAAUAUAUCGGAACGUGCCCAGUCGUGGGGGAUAACGUAGCGAAAGCUACGCUAAUACCGCAUACGAUCUAUGGAUGAAAGCGGGGGAUCGCAAGACCUCGCGCGAUUGGAGCGGCCGAUAUCAGAUUAGCUAGUUGGUGGGGUAAAGGCCCACCAAGGCGACGAUCUGUAGCUGGUCUGAGAGGACGACCAGCCACACUGGGACUGAGACACGGCCCAGACUCCUACGGGAGGCAGCAGUGGGGGAAUUUUUGGGACAAUGGGCGCAAGCCUGAUCCAGCAAUGCCGCGUGCAGGACGAAGGCCUUCGGUUGGUAAACCACUAGUCGCGAGGGACGAAGAUCUGACGGUACCUCGAAAGGAAGCACCGGCUAACUCUGUGCCAGCAGCCGCGGUAAU